This 386-nucleotide ribosomal RNA is filed under the name Telonemia sp. RNAcentral's name for it is "partial small subunit ribosomal RNA". It matches the Rfam family "Eukaryotic small subunit ribosomal RNA", at positions 582 to 975 of the family's 1831-position model. Lineage: Eukaryota; Telonemia. The record is from RNAcentral.
AUUCCAGCUCCAAUAGCGUAUAUUAAAGUUGUUGCAGUUAAAAAGCUCGUAGUUGGAUCUCAGGGUGAGCUCAGUUGGUCGGCCUAAUUGGUCAGAACUGGCUGACUCUCCCUUGUUUCUGAAUCCCGGUCGGAGUUAAUUCUUCGUUCGUGGACUUCAGAUCGUUUACCUUGAAAAAAUUAGAGUGUUCAAAGCGGGCGUUUGCUUGAAUACAUUAGCAUGGAAUAAUGGAAUAGGACCCUGGUUCUACUUUGUUGGUUUUGAGGACCAGAGUAAUGAUUAAUAGGGAUAGUUGGGGGCAUUCAUAUUUAAUUGUCAGAGGUGAAAUUCUUGGAUUUAUGAAAGAUGAACUUCUGCGAAAGCAUUUGCCAAGGAUGUUUUCAUCA